RNAcentral lists this transfer RNA (75 nucleotides) under Oscillospiraceae bacterium. RNAcentral's name for it is "tRNA-Glu". It matches the Rfam family "tRNA". From Rfam's summary of the family: Transfer RNA (tRNA) molecules are approximately 80 nucleotides in length. The record is from RNAcentral. Lineage: Bacteria; Bacillati; Bacillota; Clostridia; Eubacteriales; Oscillospiraceae.
GGCCCGUUGGUCAAGCGGUUAAGACACCGCCCUUUCACGGCGGUAACAUGGGUUCGAUGCCCGUACGGGUCACCA